RNAcentral lists this long non-coding RNA (254 nucleotides) under Rattus norvegicus (Norway rat). RNAcentral describes it as "long non-coding RNA NONRATT001989". Lineage: Eukaryota; Metazoa; Chordata; Mammalia; Rodentia; Muridae. The record is from RNAcentral.
AAGGUCCCUGGACCAAAGAAGAAGAUCAAAGAGUGAUAGAGCUUGUCCAGAAAUACGGUCCGAAGCGCUGGUCUGUUAUUGCCAAGCACUUAAAAGGGAGAAUUGGAAAACAAUGUCGGGAGAGGUGGCACAACCAUUUGAAUCCAGAAGUUAAGAAAACCUCAUGGACAGAAGACGAAGACAGAAUCAUUUAUCAGGCACACAAGAGACUGGGAAACAGAUGGGCAGAAAUCGCAAAACUGCUGCCAGGACGG